UACGUAGGGGGCAAGCGUUAUCCGGAUUUACUGGGUGUAAAGGGAGCGUAGGUGGCAAGGCAAGCCAGAAGUGAAAACCCGGGGCUUAACCCCGCGGAUUGCUUUUGGAGCUGUCUGGCUGGAGUGCAGGAGGGGCAGGCGGAAUUCCUGGUGUAGCGGUGAAAUGCGUAGAUAUCAGGAGGAACACCGGUGGCGAAGGCGGCCUGCUGGACUGUAACUGACACUGAGGCUCGAAAGCGUGGGGAGCAAACAGG
RNAcentral lists this ribosomal RNA (254 nucleotides) under uncultured bacterium. Its description in RNAcentral is "partial 16S ribosomal RNA". It matches the Rfam family "Bacterial small subunit ribosomal RNA", at positions 524 to 776 of the family's 1533-position model. The record is from RNAcentral.